GACGAACGCUGGCGGCGUGCCUAAUACAUGCAAGUAGAACGCUGAAGGAGGAGCUUGCUUCUCUGGAUGAGUUGCGAACGGGUGAGUAACGCGUAGGUAACCUGCCUGGUAGCGGGGGAUAACUAUUGGAAACGAUAGCUAAUACCGCAUAAUAUUGACUAUUGCAUGAUAGUCAGUUGAAAGGUGCAACUGCACCACUACCAGAUGGACCUGCGUUGUAUUAGCUAGUUGGUGGGGUAACGGCUCACCAAGGCGACGAUACAUAGCCGACCUGAGAGGGUGAUCGGCCACACUGGGACUGAGACACGGCCCAGACUCCUACGGGAGGCAGCAGUAGGGAAUCUUCGGCAAUGGACGGAAGUCUGACCGAGCAACGCCGCGUGAGUGAAGAAGGUUUUCGGAUCGUAAAGCUCUGUUGUAAGAGAAGAACGAGUGUGAGAGUGGAAAGCUCACACUGUGACGGUAUCUUACCGGAAAGGGACGGCUAACUACGUG
This 495-nucleotide ribosomal RNA is filed under the name uncultured bacterium. RNAcentral's name for it is "partial 16S ribosomal RNA". It matches the Rfam family "Bacterial small subunit ribosomal RNA", at positions 28 to 507 of the family's 1533-position model. The record is from RNAcentral.